UUGUUCACGCGAUGGUUUCCUGCUCCACUGAGGCUCGUUAACAGUCCACCUGAUUCUUCUUAGCUCUUAGAGGUGACCUGAUCGCUGCCUUCAUAACAGGAACAUGAGAGGCCAAGUGUCCAGCUCUUUGGCUGUCUUUUGGCAGAUAAUGUAGGCACCAUGAAAUAUUAGGACUGAAUUUACUGGGUUGCCUGAAAGAAUGCAUGAGGCUUAUGAACCGAAGUUCUCAAGACGCCGUCUGUCAGGUAACAAAAGACAGUGUUUCCUGAGGGAUGAGGGAUGGUAAACAAAUGAGGUGAGUUUUAUCGUUACCCAACUGAAUCAUAAGUAACUGAGGUAAGCCCUGGGUUUCCCCAGCUAGCUGCCAUGAGAGAUUUUUCAGGCUGAGGCAAAGGGGGGAACCCAGGCAAAUCCAGGCGAACUCCUUAAGGUGAUGAACCAGAGCCCAGAGCCUGGGAAGGGCCAGCCAACUAGAGUUUGUUCAGCAAACAGAGGAGAAAGCAUGUAAAGUGGUCAAGUUCCAGAGACUUCAGAGGCCUCCUCGGGUGUUUAGCUACAAACUGAUUAACACAUUUAUUAAAUGAAACUACCCAAGGUUGUGGAAAGAACAACCAAAAAGAAAUAGAAGUAACAUUUCUAGGAGAUGCAGAACCUGGAAUAGUUCCUAUUCCCAACAGUUACUGAUUCACAGGCACCGGGAAGAGUGUAAAGAAGUGUCUUGCCUCAGUAGGGCGCAUACUUAGCCCAUCACAGAGAACAAUGCCAGUUUUGCCUUAAACAUUUUGGAAGCACGAUUCUAAAGGAAAACUGGCAUAACUGUAUUCAAAAACAAAGACUGUGAAUAUCUAUAGGAAUUCAAAAAUAUUCAGCAACCAAUAAGGUAAAUUCCCAGUGACUAGCAUCCUAUUAAAAAUUACUAGACUGCAAGUAAAGAAGUAAACCCAUGAAAGGAAAACAUUAGUCAAUCAAAAUUAACACAUAACUGACACAGAUGAUAGUCACAUGAAAACCCUUAUUAUAACUGCAUUUCAUGGUCAAGACAGACCAUAUUCUGUGCCCUAAAACAAACUUCUAUAAAAUGAAAAAGAUUUAAGCUCAUAGAAACGGUCCUACCAUUAAAUAGUGGCACUAAAUUAUGAAUCAAUAACUGAAAGACCUCUGGAAGAUCUCCCAAAUUUGGUAAUUAAAUAACACAACUUAAAUAACUCAUUUACUAAAAAGACCAAAGAAUAAAUUAGAAAAUAUGUUUGCAUGUAAUGAAAAUGAAAACAUGGCAUAUUAAAAUGUGUGUGAUGCUACUAACAUGAUACUUUGGAGGCAAAUUUUAGUGCUAAAUGUCAAUACUAGGAAAGAAGGGUCUUAAAUCAAUAACCUUAGAUUCCACCACCAAGGAACCAAAGAAAGAUGAGCAAGUUAAAACCAAAAUAAGUAAGAGAAAGUCAGUAAUGAAGAUCAAAGUGGAAAUCGAUUACAUGUAAAACAAAAAGAGGAGAGAAAAUCAGUGUCACCAAAUGGAGAUUAUUUGAGAAGAUACAUAAAAUUGAUAAACCUCUACCUAGUUUGAUCAGGAAAACAGAUAUGACACACUUAACUAAUAUCAGGAAUGAGCAUGGUGAUACCACUAGAAAAUAUACUGACAUCAUCAGGCUAGUAGGGGAAUAUUAUAAAAAUUUUAUCCCAAUACAUUUAAAACACAAAAUUUGUAAAUGCCUCAAAAGAUACAAACUACCAAGCUCACUUAAAAAGAAACAAGUAAACCGAGUACACUAUGUCUACUAAAGAUAUUGAAUUUGUUCAAACAAACUCUUGAUAUUGAUUGCCUUAUUAAUAAAAUCUAUCAAAUAUUUAAAGAAGAAGCAAUACCAAUUCUAGAAAACCUUAUGGGAAACUUAAAAGUGGAUACUUUCCAACUAAUUUUAUGAGCCUAGCAUUACCCUAAUGCUAAAAGCAGACAAAGACAUUACAAGUGAGAGAUGUUUAUACCAAUACACCAUUGUAACAUUAAAAGACCAAAACAAAUUGUUAGUUAUUCAUGUGCAACAGUACAUAAAAGAAAUGAUGCAUCAUAUUCAAGUGGAAUCUAUCCAAUGAAUGCAAGGUUGGUUAAGCAAUUAAGUGAAAAUCAAUGUUAUUCACUAUAUCAACAAACAAAAUCACCUCAUCAUCUCAAUCAACUCCAAAAGCUAAUUAAAUAAAAUCCAGAGUCCAUUAUUGAUAAAAACAAAAACAAAAAGACUCUCAUCAAAAUAAAGAAUAGAAUGGAACUGCUUCAAAUUGAUAAUGGACCAAAAAAUAGCUACAACUAAUACAUUUAAUGAAUGGUAAAAGAUUGAAUGAUCCCCCCCCCCC
Non-coding RNA from Miniopterus natalensis, 2349 nucleotides. The record is from RefSeq and is a predicted model, not a curated record. Lineage: Eukaryota; Metazoa; Chordata; Mammalia; Chiroptera; Miniopteridae.